This 253-nucleotide ribosomal RNA is filed under the name uncultured bacterium. RNAcentral describes it as "partial 16S ribosomal RNA". It matches the Rfam family "Bacterial small subunit ribosomal RNA", at positions 524 to 776 of the family's 1533-position model. The record is from RNAcentral.
UACGUAGGGGGCAAGCGUUGUCCGGAAUCAUUGGGCGUAAAGCGCGCGUAGGCGGCCCGGUAAGUCCGUUGUGAAAGUCAAAGGCCCAACCUUUGAACGCCGAUGGAUACUGCCGGGCUAGAGUCCGGAAGAGGCGAGUGGAAUUCCUGGUGUAGCGGUGUAAUGCGCAGAUAUCAGGAGGAACACCAAUAGCGAAGGCAGCUCGCUGGGACGGUACUGACGCUGAGGCGCGAAAGCGUGGGGAGCGAACAGG